RNAcentral lists this long non-coding RNA (19168 nucleotides) under Phaseolus vulgaris (common bean). RNAcentral's name for it is "long non-coding RNA (PVUL_LNC002849)". The record is from RNAcentral. Lineage: Eukaryota; Viridiplantae; Streptophyta; Magnoliopsida; Fabales; Fabaceae.
AAUUAUACAAAUGCAAAACAGUAGCUGUAUACAAAUCUAAAAUUACGACAAAUUAGUAGCUGUAUAUGGUUUUAUUUUAGGAAGGUUGUUCUGUUGUUUUAGCCUAUAUAAUCUAAGAUUUUAUAUGGUUUCAGAUCACCAAUGCUGAAUGCAUUUCUGACACUAAACUCAGUUUUCAAGCAAGUAAAUAAAGCACUAAAUAGUAACGUACAACAGAUGGGGACUUAUGUUCACGUUUCACAUGAACUGUAUGCAAUCUUGAAACUACCAAAAUAGUUAUACUCACUUCUCUGGAAGUUGUAAUGUAGGGUACAAAUCACGUAAAAACUUCACAACGUCUGAGAAGUGUGCGACUCUCUCAACUAGUACAUAUCUUCCAUUAGCUGAAGCACUCUCAUAUGCUAGAAUAUGGGCCAUUGCAACAUCUCUCACGUCCACCCAUCCCAAAGUUACAUUUCCAAAUGUUGGCGAACCUGUAUCAAGGAUAGAACAGUUUCUUCAAUUAUCAAAGAAUUGUGCAGCGAAAAAUCCUAACAUAUUAUUAGCCCUCCCUUUCACGUUCCAUUUUAAUUUAUGUUUCAUUAUUUGGCAUUUCCUUUUGUUUUAUUUGAUCCAUAACAUAGUUUGAGUUUAAAAAAAAUGACACUGUGUAAUCAAGAUGCAGGCAAAUCAAACAAUAGAAAUUUAAGAGCAUAAGGUAUAAACAGUAAUUACCAUCUACUAGACUUAAAACCAUAGCAGAACUAGUGUUGAGUUCUGGUUGCAAGAGAGGUCCAACAACCAAUGCCGGGUUCAUUGUAACCAAGUCAAUAUUGUUUUCUUUCGCAAAUUUCCAGGCAGCAUCUUCGGCCAAAGUCUUUGAGAGGUUAUACCAUAACUAAAACAUAAAUAGGAAAAACAAGGAAUGUGAAAAACAGGGUAACAUAGUAUUACAGUACAAUAGUUAUUGUGUAAUCAGUGUUCAGAGACAAUUAAUUGUUAUCUUUUAAGAAGCACAAAACAUUAUCAUAUCUACUAUUUGUGUAGUUCUCCAAUGAUGUUUAAUCUCGGUAGUAAGGAUUAACAAGUUGAUUAGGGGAAACAGCACAUACCCCAUUUUCCUUACAAUAUUCAGGAUCGGAAUACCAAGUCUCGUCAACCACAACAUCAGGGGUUUUAGGCCUGUAGUUGAACGAAACUGCAGCAACGGAAGAAGUUAAAACGACGCGUUUCAGCGUGGGCGACUUCACACACGAUUUCAGAACAUUCAGAGUUCCCUUCAAAGCUGGAUCCAACAACUCAGUCUGAAAUACAUAAAGUAAAAUCAAAAUAUCACAAUCCACAGAUAAAAACAAAAUGCACAAAUCGAAUUGCAAUGCAAACGAAACAAACCUGCGGAUCUUUGGCAUUGUUAAAAAACGGAGAAGCAGUAUGAAACACAGCGUGAACACCUUCAACGGCAGAGUCAAAGGAACCUUCUUCUAGAAGAUUCGCCUUCACGAGAUGCAACCUCUCCUUGGCACCAUCAAGGUUAAGCAAGUGAUCAACCUUACUGGAAUUAUCUGCACAUCACAAAUUAUCCAAACUUUAAUUUUCGAAAUAGUAAUCAGCAUCAGCAUCACCACAAAUAAUCACCGACGAAAACAAAAAGUUAUGGAAGACAAAAGAAAGCACAUACUUGGAUCGCGAACGGUGGCCUUAACAGUGUAACCGCGUUCGAGAAGAAACUUGACGACCCAGGAAGCAAUGUAACCGGAAGCACCGGUGACACACACUACUUGUCCAGCUCCGGUGCUCAUUCUGGAUUAUGUUCUUCUACUCUGAGAUGAUUCUCUCUGUUGAGUGUUGUUGUUCUGUGUUAUGUUGACUCAAUCACAAACAAACUCACCUUUUUUUAAAGAACCAAAAAAAGUUUGCGUUUUCAAUUUGGAAAGGUUUUACUGGGGGCGUUUCCAUCUGAAUAGGUGUCCGUGGGCCAUUUCCAAAUAUAUCCAAAACCAUGAUUUUAAAAUACAGAGUAUCAUAACACGUAUCAUCAUAUAAAUUUUUAAAUUAUGACUUGCAAAUAAAUUUUUCAUCAUAAAAAUAAAAGACAUUUCUAUCAACACUAAACAUAAUGUAGCUAUUAUAAGAAUAUUUUACUAAAAUAAAAUUAAAUAUAUUUUUCGUCUUCUCUAAAAAAAGUCUAUAAUCUAAAUUUUAGAAGUUUUUUUUUAAUAAAAAAAAACUAUUGAAAUGUGAUAAAUAGAUUUUAAUUAUAGAUUAGGAGGUUAGAAUAUUUUGUGUUAAUUUAACGCUAACACGUGUUAAUAUCAUAAUAAGAAAAAACACGGUUAAACUAAAAUCUUAAAAUGAUUCAUUUAGAUUCUAUUUCACGUGGUUGUGGUUGAUAUAAUAUUAUAAUAACAAAAUAGUGAUAAUGAUUCAUUAUAAUAGUUGUUAUUAUAAAUACUCUAAAAUUUAAAUUAAAACAAAACAAAUUUGGUGGGACAAAAAGAAGAUAUUUAAUUCUUAAAACAAAAAUCAUAAGUAGAUAAGGCAAUUAAACUGUGAAACAUAAAUGAAAGAAAGAGACGUGGAUUAAUAGAAAUCCAUAACAUAUUAUUGAGAAUGCGACCCCAAAAGUCUGGGAAGAAGCAAAAAUAGUGUUGAUUUGAAGAGUACAUUGAGCCGUAACAUGCAAGAUUUGGUUAUGUUUAUUUUUUGGUGACGUUGUAUGCAGAUAACGUUUUAGUCUCAACUGUCUAAACUACAAAACAAUAUUAAAUAUCAUAUUGUACUUAUAAAGAUUUAUACUUAGACCGGGUCCAGUCUAGGUAAGAAUGACGCAUUCGUUGACGUUAAGAUUUUAUAAUGUUUUAUGCGCUGCCUUCAAAUUUUAGUAUUCUAUUUCUUUAUUUUUCUAUAAAUAAAUAAAUAAUAAACGAAUAAAUUUUAGUUUAGAGAUUUGUAAGAAAAAUAUUUUGAUUCCUCUAACAUUAAAAUAAUUAAUUUUAAAUUUUUAAUAUUUGUAUUAAACUAAACUAUGCGAUUAAACAAUGAAUAGUUAAAAACACAGGUGAAUUGGUUUAAAGAAUAUUUUCUUAUAUUUUAUGAGAUAAUAGAUUAUUUUUUAUUUAUAAUCGAUUAUAUAUAUAAACAAACAUUUUAAAUUUAGUUAAAAUAAUUAAUUAUUCACUGUUUAUUUGCAAGAAGAAACAUUUUAGAUAUAAUUGAUAUAAUCAGUUAUUUAUUGUUCGUCGACUAUAUACGAAAAUAUACAUAUAUUUUAGAUUUAAUUAACAUAAUUAAUUGUUAAAUUUUUAUAAUCUAUUAUCUACAAAAUAUAGUGAAAUUUAUGCGUGGUUUAACUUUAGGUAAUUGAUUAUAAUUUUAAUAUAAUUAAUUAUUAUGUUUAGAAAAAUAUAAAACCAGUUUUUUUAAAAUUCAAAAUUGUUAAAGAUUAUUUUAAAGAUGGAUUAUUUUUUACAUUUUAUUAUAGUAAAAUAAUGAACAAUUGAUAAAUGAAUCAUCGAUGAUAAGUUCAACACCAUCAAAAUCAAUACAUCAUAGUUUGGUAAAAUUUAAAAGUAUUAAAAUUGUAGUGUACUAUGAUAUCAAGUUACAUAAACACAUCUAGAAGUUCUAUGAUUAAUUAUCAUUUAUUUAUUUAGAAGCAAAUAUUGAGAAUUAAAUUUAAGAAUUAUAAAAAUACAAAUACAAAUUAGAAAAAUAAACUAAUAUUUUUAUAAAAAUAUAUUGGUUUUAAAAUUUAUAGAAAAAUACUAUAAAAAAAGCUUAAUAAUGUAAGAAUUAAAAAUGUAUUCAUACUAAAAGUAAAUAGUUUUGUAACAAUUUGUCUAAAUGGUUAAAGUUCUUAUUCUCAUCUAGUUUAUCAUUUCUCAUUGAUAGAAUGUGUAAAUAUAUUUUCUUGCAAAUUACGAAUCUAAACACAUAGAAGUAAACAUAAAUGUGAGAAAAUUACUUAUAAAAAAGUUUGUCUCUUUUAUGUUCUUUUUCGCUAUUAAAAUAGUUUACAUGUACACUAAAAUGUUUCUAAGCAUACUUUUUUAUGAAUUCUGAGUCCAUCUUACAAGAAUCCCUUAUAGGAGUGUGAUAAAACAAGUAAAUAUUUUUGUCAAUAUUUUUAAUAUUUUUUGUAAUAUUUUAUAUUAGAAUAGAUAAUUAGUUAAGUUUUUUUAUAGCCUUUAAUUAUAUUGAUAGUGUUUUAUAUAAUGAAAUCUUUGAAUGAAAUAAAAUCACAAAAUAAUUUCAUUACUUCUCUCUCCAUUUUUUAAAUGUUACCAACUACUCCCUCUUAUCAACAACUCGUCCCUACCAUUACAUCCAACUCUUAUCUUCUUCCCUUUUAAAUUCAAAAUUUGCACUUUUCAUAACAUGUAAGGUUCUUAUAGCUUAUGUAAGAGAUGCAACUUCCCAACGGAACGUAAAAUAAAUACAUAAAUAAUAAAAGUUUAAAUUCACGAAAGUAUUAGUUUUUUUAAUAUAAAAUAAUAUUAAUAAAAUAUUAAAUUUAUGUGAUUCUGCAUUGUGUUGCAUUUUCUGCUAUGACUAAUGUUUCUUGGAUGUUUUGUAAUAGGUGAAACACUUAUCUUAACAACCAUGGAAAAAUCAGGUUUAAGGUUUCUCACAUUUAUUGUUAAGGGAAUCAAUAUACUAAUAAGGUUGUUAACUUAGGCUUUAUUCAUAAAAAGUAUUUUCAUUGAUAUAAUAAACUUUCAUCUAGUUUUUUAUUAAUAGAUAUAAAUUCCUUAUGUACCGUUUUUGUUAAUAUAUGAGUUUUGGUCUAAUAUUUCAUAUUUUCUUUUAUUUUUCUAAUUUUUUUUUUUAAUAAUAUUUUUUUCCAUAUAAUCACAAAUGAUUGUUGUUUAUUGAAGUGUUAGCCUAACUGAGAUAUCAAGUUCAUAAUGAUAUCUAAUAUAAAAGUUCUAAAAAAUAUUAUUAUUAUUUUUACUAUUUUAUUAUAAUAUAAUAUGAUUAGAAAUAAUUAAUUAUUAUUUACGUUUAUGUAUUUUAAUUAUUUAUUAUGUUACAAUAAAAAUGAAAUAUUUUAUUAUACUUUAUUUGAAAUUAAUCAAUUAUGUAAUUUAUAUAUGUAUUUUUUAUUGGGAAGCGGGAAGCUAAUAAAUUGUAUUUAAUUUGUGGUGAUUCUGCGCCUGAGUUAGUGGUCUUUGGGUCCUUCUUUUUGGUCGGUUAUCGGAAAAAGAGGGUCCAAUAGGGACGAAACAAUUGUAAGAGUACACGUGAUUCACGUACAAUGAAACUAUUGGAUUAUCAACUUUCCACGUCACAUUGCAUGUCUUUUACUCCUUUAUUGAAAGCAACGUUUUAAUUGUAAAAUUGCAUCAGAUCUAUUCCUUAUUUCUGAUAACCAAUAAGUAUAUGGGGAAUGUAUUUGGGUGCAAUUUAAGGCAAAAGCACCAAAAUGCUGCAAUUCCUGUUCAAAAUUAUUAGAAUGGAAAAAGAAAAAGUCAUUGUAGAAAUAGGUAAGUGUUAAGACAAAAGCACAAGUUUGUUUUAUUGAUGUUUUUCUAUAUUUGUGGUGUGGAGUUUGAACAUGAAUUUAAUUAACGACAAAAUGUUAUUGACAUAAACGAUUUUAGUUGGGUAUGUACAGCAAGACUUUAGUUUUGUAAAAGAAAUAUUUUUUUAAAUGAAAUUAUUAAUUAAAUUGUUAAAAAUUUGACAAAUUUUUUAUUUAUUUAUUUGAGAAAGAUUUAGUUAUUUUUUAAUUUAAAAAUUAAUUGAAAAAUAAUGUUAAAAUCCUAAACAAUACACUAUAAAAUAUAAACUUUAAAGAAGAUGUCAGAGGUGAACCUUAAAUCUUAAACUCAAAGAUAAAAACUCUAAAACAUAAAAUGUAAACCGUAAAAUGUAAAACUAGUGUGAACCCUUGAUCAUAAAGUGUGAAACCCUAAAAUUUCAAACACUAAACCCUAGAGCUAAAGUCUAAAGCCUACAAUUAUUUAAGAAAUGAAUGAAAUCAAACUCAGUAAUUUAUAUAUAUAUAUAUAUAUAUAUAAUAAAAAAUUGGCUAACAAAUUGUAUAAUAUAUACUAAGUAAUUAUUUAUAACUAAUUUAAGUUAUUUGUUAUUAAUUAUGUGUAUAAAUUCGUACACAUUCAUUCUUACCCUAUUCUGACAUUCAUCAUUCUUACAGUACAAAUAUUUAUUUACCUUAUUUAAACAUUUCGUCAUGCAUACGAUUAAUAGUUGAUCUUCUUGAUUUCUUAUGUCGAAUGUGGGGGUCUGAGAUUAAAUCCGAUCCACUUUAAUCCUUAUUCCGAACGGGAUGAAAUUUAAUUUCAUAAGUCUUGUAAAUAUAAUGUAGACUAUAGAUUGGGUCAAAGAAUGUCGUUAGUGGUAAAUGACAUGUCGAACAAACAAUGAUAACAUGAGCACAUGGAAGACAGAGAGGUUGAAAUUUUCCACAGUCACACCACUGAUCAUCUAGUUUGACUGUGUAUGACAUAAGUCGACGUCGAAGUUGGGGAGUGACAAGUUCCUGAACAUCAAACUCUUAAUUUUCUCUAUUAUACCUUUGGACAUGAAACAUGAUAGACUGUUGUUCAUUUUUCCAUAGUAAGAUAGUAAUAUCUCCAGGAUAUUGAUGGUCAGUUCGUAACAUGUGUUGUGUCUUGGUCCCUCAUUCAAAAACCAAGAUUUGGUUCUUUCAAAAGUUUUCUUAACUAAAGCACAAAUCGGUAAGAUUCGUACUCCCUUAAGAAUAGAGAUCAUAGACUCAACCAUAUUUGUUGUCAUGUGAUCAUACCUCCUGCCUCCAUCAUAUGCCUGAGUCCAUUUUUCCAAAAGGUAUUUGAUUUAUUCAGGCAAAAGCUUGGUGAAAUUUUGAUUGUAGAGUCUACAACUUUGCCUAUAGAGUUGGUUGUUUCAUUUCAUACCCUAUGACAAUGAAAAAAAUGAGAUUUAAAGUUCAUGUCUUUCAUGAAUAUUGAUUAAUAAAAGGAAAACAAAAUAUAUACCCAUGUUUAUCAACGGUCUCUUCAACUCAACAUUCUUGAAUUUUUUUUAUUGAAAUUUGAUGCAAUGUGGCAUAUGCAAGGAGACCAUCUACUUCCCAGCCAACCUCUAAAGAUUGUAAUGUUGAUACUAUGACCAUUCUUCUAUCAGAUAUCAUGCAUAAAUUUUGUUGUGGUGUCACAUAUGUCUGCAACAAUCGGAAGAACCAUAUAAAUGCUUCCUUGGUUUCACCUUCAACUAUUGCAAAAGCUAAAGGGAAGACGUUUCGGUUCCCAUCUUGACCAAUUGCAGUUAGCAAAGUCUCAUGAUAUUUUCCAGUCAGAAAUGUUCCAUCAACUUGGACUAUAUGUUUGUAGUAAUUGAAGUCAUCAAUGCAUGACUUGAAAAUCCAAAAUACACGUUCCAUGAUGUAACACAAAGUGUCUUAAACAUCGUCUACAACAAAAGGUCGGGUGACAUAUUGGACAAUUGUGCCCGAGACACUUUCUUGUACAACCUGCAACCAUUUUGGAAGAUGAUUAUAUGAUUCAUCACAGUCAUCAAAUUUCAUGGCAAGCGCCUUUUGUUUUGCAAUUCACGCUUUUUUGUACAUGACAGAAUAUCCAUAAUGACUUUUAAUUUCUGCAAUUAAACGUCUUAUCGGGAUAGAUGGAUUUGCCUUCACAGAGUUCAUGACAAUAGAUGCAAUUUGGGUUGAGUCUAAAUUGAUGUGAUUAUCAAAAAAGUCGUUGGCAAACAUGUAUGGGGAGCUUGAAUUUUUUUAUCUCCCACCGAUCACAAAUUUCAGUAAAGGAUGCUCUAAGCAUUGGCAGUUGUUGUUGUAAUGAAUGCAACGUGCUACAUAUCGAUCCGUCUUGGACUCAACGACGAAAAACUUAUAACCUUGAUCAACGUUGUAUUUUUUUUAUUGCGGUCAAUAUAGACUCUUUGUUACAAAAAUACAUCCGUUCAGAAAGGUCAUAUUGAAUUAAUCGUCCCGAUCGACUAUCCAAAUGAGCUUGGUGGCUUAAUGACGUCAAAAAAACAAUUUCAUCGGAUAACUCCUCAACAUCUUCGUCUUCACUAAAUUCGUGAAUCAUAUCUAUGAUUAUGUGCUCUUCCUGAAUGGUUAUAAAACUAUUUAUUUAUAGGUUAUAUAUAUAUAUAUAUAAAUAAUAAUAUUAGAAGUUAUAAUAUGGUUUUUAUAAAAAAUAUCAGUCAUUAAUAUAUCAUUAUCCUAUGUACAUUAGAAUAAUCCUCCUAUGUAAAUGAGGAUAGUAAUUCCAUUCAAUGUUGUGCUUUGAAAUCAUGUAGUGCCAAUUGCAUCUCCACAUUGUCAUGGUCAUAUAUUCAACCAAAGUACUUCUGAAAUUAUUUCUCAAUUGACUAACAUAUAUUGCUUUAGGUGUUAGACUUUUAAGAUACUCUUUAAUAUUUUUAAAUAGUGUAUAAUUUAGGAAUAGAAAUGUUAACAUUAUUUUCAAAAUUUGGUAAACUCCAUCAAGAAAACACAGGUCAGGAUAUUCAUGAAAUUCUGUCCUGUGUUCUUCAAUUCAAAGUCCAGGUCCAUGUGAGUUCAGUGCAGUGUAAGUGGGGACCACGCCAAAUUUUCUCUUUCUAUACAUUUUUUGUCAUUAUUCUUUAUUAUUCUUAAUACUUCAACCAUAAUAUUUUUUAAAUUUUAUUUUAUUAAAUAAACCAAGUAACUACUCUACAAAUGUUAAUUUUUCUUUUAUUAAAUGGUGUGCUUUUUAUUAAAAUUCAUCAUUUUCUCUGUAAGUAUCUGCCUUUUCUUUUAAAACAAUUAUAUUUAAAUUUUUACCAUUCUCUCACGACUUCACAUUGGUCUUCGAUUUUGAAUGGCACAGGUGCAGAGAGUGUGGCCAGUUUUCUGAUGCAGUGGUUCACAAUGAAAAAAUUAUUUUCAUUUUAUUUAGCAGCUUUAAAGAUGACUUGCAGAGAUUUCAAACUCUGUUAUAGAUUGAAAAAAUUAUUUAUAAAAUAAAAUUUGUGCUGACUUAUAUAUUAUGUUUUAAUUUUUAUUUGAUGUGGAAUUUAAAAAGGUGUAUAAACUUUACAGAUGUAAGACACAUUGCUUGGAGGCUUCUGAUAUAAAUUUCAAAUAUAUAUAUNNNNNNNNNNNNNNNNNNNNNNNNNNNNNNNNNNNNNNNNNNNNNNNNNNNNNNNNNNNNNNNNNNNNNNNNNNNNNNNNNNNNNNNNNNNNNNNNNNNNAUAUAAAUUGAUAGAUAUUGAUGUGAUAGAUGAUGACAUGAAUAUAGUAAGAUGUAGUGUCGGUUAGUGAAGGUUCUAGAAUAGAAAUAGUCAACGAAGAAAUGUAUGUAUAUUGAUAACUAAUUUUUUUACAAUUUUCUAACAUUAUUAUUUUAAUAAUUUUUAUAUUAUUUAAUUUUUUAUAUCUUUUAUUAUGUAUAUUUAUUUUUAAAUUCAUCACAUUAAAAAUUUUAUACUCAAAGUAUCAUUUUCCAUAAAUAUAAUAUAAUUUCCGCAUAAAUCGUGGCAUUAAUAUAAUAAGGUGGAGUGUCUUUUCAGUGAAGUAUUUAUUUAUACUAGGAAUCAUGAAUCUGUAGUGAAUAUCCUGUGUGCUUCCUAGCAGCUGCAGAAUUAGACCGUCUUACACAAAAUAUCAGUGAUUAAGGAUCUGGCUUUUGUUGUUGCUAAUGUCCCAUGCUUAUAACCAAACAAUCUUAGGCUUCUAGUUAUGUGAAAUUUAAGGUUAAUCUUAUAAAAUUAGUUUAUAGUAUAAAGUUUAUAUCUAUCUAUAAAUUAUAAAAUAUUCUAAUAUUUAGUGGAUGUAGAAUCUUCAAUACACCUUCUACACAUUGUUGUUUUAGACUAUAUAUUAUGGAUAAUCCAAUGAUGAUCUAAUAAUAGGUGAUAUGAUAAGUCCAACAAACAUUCGUCAAUUAUGAUAGAAUUUAAAUGAUUUUAAUACCAUAUUAAAAAAACUUUAAAUCUAAUUCAAUUUUAUAAAAUUAGUUUAUAAGAUAAAAUUUGUACCAAUUUAUAAACUAUAAAAUGUGAUAUUUUUAGUCUAUAUGACUUAUUUGGUGCUUCGUGUAGAGACUGUUAGAUAUGAAAAGUGUAUAAAUAAGUACAAAGAAUUAAAAAUGAUGAGCAAAGUUUAAAAUGAAUGUUUCUUAUGGUUAUAGUAAAAUUUGUACAAUUAUAAUGUGUGAGGUCUAUGUGUUGGUUAGUUUGAUGUAAUAAAUUGGGAAUCAGUUAAUUCAGUUUUGAAAUUUAUUUGAGGUAACAGUCAUUGUAACUGGUUUUCUACUUGUGGGGUCUAAUUUGUAUAAUGGAUAUCAUCAAAACCUAAUAAUAUCUACAAGGACUAUUUUUCUUCCUGCACCCUAUUUUUUUCCCCACAACUUUUACAACAACCAGUUUUUAAGAUUUCUGAAUUAUUAAUAAUGGAGUUUUUCAAAUUCAAAUUUUUAUAAAAGAAUUUCUGGAAUAAAAUGUUUAGAAUGAGAUUUCUAAAACAAUAUUUUUAUUUUUUUUAUUAAUAAUAAAUUAAUUAAAUUAAACGAAGUAUUAACGAAAUGUUUAACCCUUUCAAAGAAACUCUCAAAACUUUUACACCUUACAGAUAAGUUAUAAGUUAUAACUUUUACACUCUCAAUAUUUGAAUUUUAUAAGUUAUAAAAUAAUAGAAAAUAAAAUAAAAUACCAUAUGUUUAUCAUACGAAGAAGGUUGUGAGUAGUGAAGUUUGUUUUAAUAAUUAAUAUCAUUCAUUAAUUUUACACGCAUUAUAGAAAAAUAAUAAAAUAUUAAUUUUAAUAUAUUUUAUGAUUAAUACACACUAAUAUAUUAGAAUAAAAUAUCAUAUGUAUAAAGUAAAACACAAGUCCUUUUCUCAUUCAUGUUUCUCUACACCAUUGCAACGCCCCUUCAAGCACCAUCAAUGACCGAUUUUAAAACUGUUUUUGAAAUAAUAAAAUAUAAAAAAUAAGAUAAAUUGGUCAUACAUAUAUCUAAAUUUUAUUUAAAUAUAUAAAAAUUAUAUAAAAUAAUAAUAAUAAUAAUAAUAAUAAAAUAUUUUUUUAUCAUGUUAAAGUAUAAAUAAAAGUUUUAAUCAUUAGACAGUAAAUAUAAGAUGAUAUGGAUGAUUGUACAUAUAUUUAAACAACUCUUUAACCUCUUUAAUGUAUAUAAAAGUAGUAUAUAUUAUACAAUUACAUUAAAAGAAUGGAUAAAAACUUAACUAAAAGACUUGCUAAAUGGGAAGUUCUUUUAUAAAAUUACAUAUAAAAGAAGGCACCAAGGAUGCAAUUUAAUACAUUUUACUAAGACAGUGAUAUGACAUGAAAUAUGCAGAUUCAGAAAAUAUGAGUAUGUGAAGAAAAUUGGAAAGGGACAAAAGUUAUUUGGUUGCUGAGUUUUUUUGGCAGUGGUAGGGAAUGGAAAAACAGUUUUAACAUUAUUUUCGCAAAUUUUAACCAUUUAUUAUAGAAGAAGGGAAUCUAACUAUAUAGAGAUUAAAUUCCCAACUACUUUUUUCUUGUUUUCGUUACUAAAAUCUUAGUACAAUUUCGUUUUUGGGAAGAUUGGUUUCUCGAAGAUGAAAUUCCGGAAAGUUUUUUAUGUUUUUUUUUAAAUAAAAGUUUUUAUGUUAGACAUUAUUAUGCAACUUACAUCUCAGUUAGGUUGACACCUCCAAAUAACAACAAUCAUUUGUCAUCACAUAAAAAAAUAUUAUUAAAAAAAAUAAAAACAAAAAUAUAGAGAAACUAUAUUAAAAUGCAUAGGUUAAAAAAACACAAUAUAUAAGUAUAUUAUACCUAUUCAUAAAUAAUUCUAAGAACAAACUAUAUGGAAACCUAUUACACCAAUGAAAUUAUUCUCUAUGAAUAAAUCGUAAAUUAGUCAUCUUAUCAGCACGUACAUUCUCUUCACGAAAGAUAUAAGUAACCUUAAACUUGAUUUUCCCACAUUAAUUAAGACAAGUAUUUCAUCGAUUACGAAACAUCCAAAGAACAUUUGUCCUAGCAGUAAACACAUCAUAAAUCAAGGCAGAAUCACAUUCUAAUCUGACAUUAGUAAGCCCCAACUUUUGAGCUUCUUCCAUAGCAUCUAUAACUUCAUAAAACUCAGCAACCAGAGCAAUCUAAAUUUCAAGAAACGCAGAGAAAACUCCAAUAAAUUCCUCCAUACUCUCACGAAAAAUACCUCCACAAGUAGUAAGAUUAGGAUAUCCCCUAGCAACCCCAUCAGUGUUAAUUUUAAUCCAUCCUGAUGAAGGAAACUCCUAUCUAACAGGAAGAUGACAAAGCUUUACAAGUACAAGUAUUAAUACCAAAAAACUUAAUCACGUUGAAAUCCAACAUACCAUUCUUUAUUGAAGUUUUAGACGAAUUUCCCACUAGACAAGUUAAAUCUUUAAUAACCGAAAUAGCCCUAAAAAUCUCAAUCUUAUCCUGAAAAACGAGCAUAAUUCCUCAUACGUUAUAACAUCCAAAUAGAAAAAGUUAUAACAUCCAAAUAAAAAAAGUUAUCACAACAAGUUUAAUCAAUUUAACCAAAUGACUACCAUCACUCUUAAUGAAAGAAAGAAGAUCAUCCUUAUUAGAUAAAUGAUAGAAAAAAUUUGUCGAACCCAACUCCAAAUAUGCAAAACAUUAGAACAUUCAAAAAAUAAAUGUUGAAUAAAUUCCUUGUUCUUUUCACAAAGUGUACGCAUAGAACAAAUAGGAAGCCGCCUAUGAAAAACUUUCCAAAGUACAAGAGUUUUGGAAGGCAGAAUAUAUAAAAACCAAAUAAAUUUACCCCAACCACAAGAACUCAUGGUUCCAAGAAGAAAGGUCAAGCUGAUUUAAAAGUGAAACGAUCAGACUCAUCUAGAAUCCAAUUAGGAAUAUCUUGUUCCCCUGACCUGAUAUCGCUAAAAAGAUUAGACAUCUACGAUAAAGACAAUGAAAUAUUUCAAUCACAACCUGUCCAAAAUUGAGAAACUGUAUCCAAAAUGCUAGCACCAUCAAAUAUCUCUGCAAUAUUUGCUAAAGAAGUAGUAGAACACCAUUUAUCAUUCCAGAAAUUAAUAUUUUAAUUUAAUGUAUAUUUUAAAAUUUGAAAUUUGAGUUGAAAAGAGUUGGACACAUGGAUUGCACAUCCAAUUUCAUUUAUUUUAGAUUUUUAUUUAAGUAGAAAAUAAAAUAAUUUAAGAUUUUAUAUUUAUUUAGAAUUUUGAAAACCUUAAAAAUUUUAUUUAUUUGAGAUUUUUAUUUAAAUAAGGAUUUGUAUUUAUUUAAAAUUUUGAAUAAUUUAGAAAUUUUAUUGUAUUUCAGAUUUUAAUUUACAUAGCACAUUAAAUAAUUUAGAAUUUCUGUUUAUUGAGAUUUUAAAUAAUUUAAAUAUAUAAAAUUUCUAAAUUAUUUAAAAUUAUAAAUAAAUAUAAAUCCUAAAUUAUUGGAUAUUAUACUAAAUAAAAAAUUUACAGUAAAUAAAAUUUAAAAAUUAUUCAAAAUGUCAUGAUUUUGUCUUUCAAUAAACCUCUCCACAAAUAUUUGUAGAGAAGAAAAGAAACAAAAUUAAAUUUAGUCAUAACUCGUGUAAAAUUAAUAUAGAAAACUUCUAUAAUUAAUUGAAUUUGUUUAAAUUAAAUUUUCCAAGAAAACAAUUUUAGAAGAAAAGUAUAAAAAUAAAAUAAAUCUGUUAAUAAACUAAUUUAUAAAAAAAAAUCGUAUUAGCUUCUACAAAAUCUAAUCCUAAAUUUAUGUAUAAGUUUAUUGCAAUUUAUGAAAAAAUAACAAAUACCCAGUUCAGUAAAAAUUGCUAAAAGACUGGUUUUAUAAUUAACAGAAAAUCUACAUUCCAACUUCAAAAUUAGAAUAUUAUAAUUUAUAAUCAAUUAAUAUUAUAGAAAUGUAGAACAAUUUAGUUUAAUUGCCAAAGAGUACUGACUAAAGAAUUUAUAAAAGAAACAUAAAGAAGUACAAUAAUUUAUAAAAGAAACAAAGAAAAUAAAUAAAAAAACUUAAAAGAAACUAAAAGAAAAUAUUAAUAAAAGUGAUGAGCAGUACAUCCAAGAAAACCAGAAGAAAGUUAUUUCUCUAACUUCCUGAUUUCAUUGAAGAUUUUAUCUCAAGUGUUUCUAACGCAGGAGCAUAUUCAGUUGUUAUUUUCUCCCUGAAGGCUUCGGCCCGGCUGAUCUCCAUUAAUAUUUUCCUCUCUCAUUUUCUCAGGAACAGACGUCUCUAAUCCUGUUCUUGGCAACUCAGUAUCCCAACUUUUAAAUUGGCGAUCAAAUUAUAUGUAAUUAGUGUAGGUAAUAUUGUACCAUAUGUACUCAUAUGUAAUUAUAUAUAAUUAAUUUAAUAAUAAUAAUAGAAUCUCUUAAUUAAAUUCAGUAUCUCAAUUCAGUAGUGUAAUAUAAAAAAAAAUAUAUAAUUAUUCUAAAUUUUCAAUUUUAAAAUGAACACUCAUUAAUUAAACAAAAAAAAUUAAUAAUUACAUUAAUAAAAUAAUUAUAUUAUUAUUUCUAUUUAUAAAAUUUAAAUAUUCAAAUUCUCAUUAAUAAAUCAAAAUUUGGAUUAUUAUAAUAUAUCAAUUUGAUUCUAUUAUUUAUAUUUUUAUAAUUUAAAUAGAUUUUGUAUUUAAAUUGAAUUUUAUUUAUUAUACUAUAAGAAAAUAAGUAUAAUUUUCUCCUCUCUAUAUAAAAGAUUUCUCUAUUUAGAAUUUAAAUAUUUUCCAUUCAUAUUAAGAUAAGGUUUUGAAUGUUUUUAUUAAAUUUAAAAAUAAUUUUUGGCUUCAUUAUAAGUUUGGUUCUUAUAUUUUAUUUUAAAAUUUCUAGAUUCAGAAUUAUUGUUUUGUAUUUUUACUUUUUAAUUAAAUUCAAACGACUCAUUAAUUCAACAUAACAUUACGCGGAUCUUGAAAAUUUAAGCUUUUUGAAAUGUAGAUUAAACUUUACUUUUAUUCCCACUCCAACAAUUACUAUUCACACUCCCCUUCUCUUUUUAUAUUUUAAUUAUACAUGCUCGGAUAAGUAAUAAUAGUAACAAAGUAAAAGUUUACAUUCCAACUAUCCAUGAUUUUGUAUGUUACAGUGCUCAAAAGUGAAACUUCGAUAUAACCAUCAAAACAAAUAUAAUGAAAACUGAAAACUACAUCACAUAUAUCUUUGAGGACUUUCAUCAAACAAUUAACGGACAUUAGUAUUUAAUUAUUUUUAUAAUUACUUUGAGGAUUCACUAGUACACUACACCAAGAAUAAUGUGUUCUAAUAUCAUAGGAACAAAUCGAGAGAAGCAGAUUAAACUCUUUUUUUUAUUAAAGUUAGAAACAGAAUACACUUACACAGAAACUUAAAUUACACAGAAAUUUAAAGCUAGAAACAUAAACUACUUAUAAACAGAUACUACUUAAAGAAACUAAAACUAUUUACUUAGCUUCUUGAUUUCUGCGUAGAUCUUACGUCUAUCUCCAAUUGCAUAUAUUCCUAUUGCUUCUAAAUUUCCAUUUCGAUAUGUUAUUAGGGGAAGUGCUUUUUCAUCGAUAUGAUGUUUCUCGAACUCAGGAGCAUAGUGACUCAGCUCUAUCUCUAUAUUGGAAGUGUGUUCCAUAAACACCAGAAGUGUGCUAGAAGUUUCUGGAGAAUAACAGAAACUUUCAUUUUUUUGGCACCAGUUAGUAGAACAAUCCAGAACACCACCUUUUUUUUUUUGCUUCUACUUUAAUUUAAAUAUAAAAUAUUACUUACAUUACUUGUUUUAAUUUAAUAAUAACGCUUAUUUUAAUACUUAUUCUUUUAAUAAAAAAAUCAUUUUGUUUAUAAUUUUAAAAAGUUUAUAUUUAAACUUUAACUAUUUUUAAUUCUAAUCUAUGUAAUAUUUUAAACAAAAUAUUAAGAUGUCAUUCACUAAUGUUUAAAAAUAUUUUUAGUUUCCAAAAAAUUUAGAAAUUUUGCAUUUAGAUCCUAACAUUUUUUAAACUUUUGGUUGCUUCUAAUACAUUAUAUGCAUUGACAUUAUUUCAUGAUUAAAAACACAUAAUUUGCUGAUGAUAAAAAAAUUGAAAAACUAAAAGAAAUAUCUACAGACAUUUUAAAAAUUACUUUAAAAAAAUAAUAUAAUAAUAAGAACGGAGUAUAAAUAAAUCUUUUCAAAGACUAAAUACAAAAAAUGUAUAAACAUUUUAAGAAUAAAAAAAUACAUUAACAACUAGAUACAAAGUUCGAAAAUUUUUUAGAAAUUAAAACAUCUUUAAAUCUUAAAAAUAUUAAGAAAAUUAAUAUCUUUCCUAGAUAUAUAUUUAGAAAUUAAAGGGGUCUAAAUGAAUUUUAUUUAAAAUUUAUUGGAUGCAUGAGCAAAAGUGUAUGAAUUUCAUUAUACGCAUCAACAAAGAGUAUAAAUUUUAAUGUAUGCAUAUGAUUCAAGUUAUAAAAGUUAAAAACAUUUUUCCCAAUAUUACUGUUUGUUCUAACUCCUAAUCAAAUAUAUAUAUAUAUAUAUAUAUAUAUAUUAUUAUCAUAUGAUUAUUUUACUUUAUUCAAUUUUAAUAAAUAAAAUAGAAACUAACCAAGUCAUUUAAAGUCAAGGCAAAUGUUUUUCUAAAUUAUACAUUUUCCUUUGCAUGAAUAAACCCACACAAAUAAUAAAAUGAUGAUAAUAUAUGUAUUGUCUAAUUACUGAUGCCAAAAAUCAUUUUCACCUACAAAAUCGAUCUUUUAACCAUUACUCCUCUCGGAGUUUUAAUUUGAUACAAAUUUUUCCUGUAAUAUAUCAUUUUUUAUAUGCGACUGAAUUAAUUUUUUAAAUCCAAUUUUACUCUUGUUACGUAUUUGUUUACAAAUGUUAAUAUUCAGAAGUCACAUAAUUAAUUAUGAAUAUUGAUAUCCGGAAGUGUCAACUUUGCAUAUGGAUAUUGGCAUUCGGAAGAGUCAGCUUUGUCUAUGGAUAUUGGCAUCCGGAAGUGUCAGUUUUACCUACGAAUAUUGGCAUCCGGAACUAGCACUCUUUGACUACGGACAUCUUUAUCCAGAAGGCACCAUCAUGCUUCCGGAUAUACAUAUCUGGAAGCAAAUCAUCUUGAACUUUAUGUUUGGGCAGUGUGAUAUUUUGCUACUUUUAAUGGAUUAAAACCAUUAAACCAAACCAAACACUAAUUUGAUCAUGCGCAAGGUCGACUACCAGUAAGGCAUAGUAAGGCUUGCAUGAUUUGGUGUAGAAAAUUUUACUUAUCAGUAUUCUUUUGUUCAUUGCUAAGAGUUAAGAUAUCAUGCAUCAAUUGACUCGUCCUUAGGUUUUGACGGAAGGAAGAUCGUUUUGGCCUCUUGGAAAAAGGUUAGUGAGCCUCGCGAUAUCGGGGUAUUGGAAUUAUGAUCUAAGGAUUUUUAACUUGGCUUUGUUAGGAAAGUGGAUUUGAAGGUUGGGUUCGGAUAAGAGUGGUUAAAAGGUUAAAAGACGACGGUUAUUUUCAAUUUUAAACGGCGCGCAUUUGAUGUACACGUAGUCUUAAAUCCAAUAGAUAAGAAUAUGGCUAUUUAGCCGCAUUAGUAAAUACGAUUUAUAAAUGCGACUAUUGUAAAUAGCCGCAUUCUUAUUUAAAAAAAUAAAAAAAAUAAAAAACGCUAAAUCCUAAACCUUAACCUAAACAUUAAAAUAAAAAUUUAAAAUUUAAAACACCAUCAACCUUGUGCGUGAAAGGCAGCAACGACGACAACAGUGGAGGCAGCAACAGCAGCGGUAGCAGACGCGACAACAGAGACAUAAACGACGGCGGCAGCAAACGCGAAGACAGCGACGGAGCAAAGCAAAAACCCACACAAGUAGUAACAAAAUGCAAUAAACACAAAGUAAGAGAAACGAAAAAAUUUAUAAACCAUUAGUGAAGAAGAAAGAGAGCUCCAACGAACUUAUAAUGACACGAGAAGACAAUGAAGCUCGCAAAAGAAGAGAGGAACACCAUAACAAAAACGAAGAGAAAACGCAAAGCGCUAAGAAAAAGAAAGUAUGAAAGUGUAAGUGACGCGCUUCAGAAUUAGAGUAAAAAAUGAUUUAAGUAUACGGCUAUUACAAAUAACCGCAUUCGUAAAUGAAGUUAAGUUUUUAAUAAAUUCUACUUUAUUUCAUUUAAUAUCUUUAUUUAUUAGGAAGAAAUUGGAUAUUAACCAUAUGCUUUUAAGAUGAUAAUGUCUAUAAGACAAUUGAGCUAAAUUUAGAUAUUAAAAUAAGAAAGUAGAGUAUGAAAGCAUAAGAGAAGUGUAAACCACACCAAGAAUAACUUAUUUCAGUCUGAUUAAGUCUCAUUUUACACUAAAAUUUAUUCAUAAGCAUGAUCAUAAGAGAAGCCAAGUGAACAACUAAUAAAGGUUUCCACGUUUCUUGAAGGGUCACAAACUUAAAACUUGACGAAGUUCUUUUCCUUCAAGCUCUCCACAGUAUCCUUGAUGCUCACUUCCAAAGGAAUAUAUUCAAUCCCCAAGCUCUUUGCUUUUUCCUUCGAAACCUGAAAUGCUGGAUCAUAUGGCUUAUCAUCUACGCACCUGGUAAUAUUGUUCACAAAGUGAAACCAUAUUAGACGACUAACAUAUAACAAAAGGAAAAACUUACUUUACUAACAAACAAGAUGGUUUAAACCUUCUGAUAGAAGAUUAGACGGUCUAAUGUAAACAAACAGACUAGACUAGACUGUCUGCUGUUGAAUUGAAUAAACUGACCAGACUGUAUGGUGUAAAACCGUCUACACCGAUUUUAUCACCAGUGCUGAAUGCAUUUCUGACACCAAAUUCAGUUUUCAAGCAAGUAAAUAAAGCACCAAAUGGUAAGGUACAACAGAUGCGGACUUAUGUUCACGUUCUACAUAAUUGUUUGCAAUCUUGAAACUACCAAAAUAAUUAUACUCACUUCUCUGGAAGUUGCAAUGUUGGGUACAGAUCACGUAAAAUCUUCACAACGUUUGAGAAGUGUGUCACUCUCUCAACUAGCAGAUAUCUUCCAUUAGCUGAAGCACUCUCAUACGCUAGAACAUGGGCCAUUGCAACAUCUCUCACGUCCACCCAUCCCAAAGUUAUAUUUUUAAAUGUUGGCGAACCUAAAUCGAGGAGAUGGAACAGUUUCUUCAAUUAUCUAAGAAUUGUUCAGCCAAGAAUCAUAACACAGGUUGUUGAAAAAUCAUAACAUAUUAUUAGUCCUCUCUUUCAUAUUCCAUUUUAAUGUAUGUUUUUUAUUUGAUCCAUAACAUUAACAUAGUUUGAGUUGAAAAAAAUUA